AAGUCGUAACAAGGUCUCCGUAGGUGAACCUGCGGAGGGAUCAUUAACACGUUUCUAACGUAUCCACUAUCAACCAACCGCGAACGAGUGAGAGCUCUACAUUAUGUUUAAUGACAUAACGUAGUUCUUUCCAAUCUCCCUGUCACUCAAUAUUGUAUCAAGGAACUAGUAAUGGGUUUUAUAUUGUCUUACGACUUAUAAAUCGGUUUCUUAUACUAACAGGUCAACUGUAAAAUAUUGAAUUGAUGGGCUUAAUUAAACUUUUCAUUACAGGUUGAAACCAAACCGUUUCACCCCAUUUAACGACAUCGGACUGAUUACUUACUACUAAGAAAUUUUUAGUAAGCCAAAACAAAGUGAAUAACUUUGAUAUUCUAACUAAUAGCACAACUCUUAGCAACGGAUAUCUUGGUUCUC
RNAcentral lists this unclassified non-coding RNA (417 nucleotides) under fungal sp. RNAcentral describes it as "partial internal transcribed spacer region". The stretch from base 1 to 46 matches the Rfam family "Eukaryotic small subunit ribosomal RNA", at positions 1786 to 1831 of the family's 1831-position model. Lineage: Eukaryota; Fungi. The record is from RNAcentral.